Molecule: transfer RNA, 91 nt
Filed under: Burkholderia gladioli
Lineage: Bacteria; Pseudomonadati; Pseudomonadota; Betaproteobacteria; Burkholderiales; Burkholderiaceae
Also listed under: 1 other name
Description: tRNA-Ser
Rfam family: tRNA
About the family: Transfer RNA (tRNA) molecules are approximately 80 nucleotides in length. Their secondary structure includes four short double-helical elements and three loops (D, anti-codon, and T loops).
Source: RNAcentral
GGAGAGAUGGAUGAGCGGUUUAAGUCGCCCGCUUGGAAAGCGGGUAUGGGUUAAUAGCCUAUCGGGGGUUCGAAUCCCCCUCUCUCCGCCA